UGGGGAAUAUUGCACAAUGGGCGCAAGCCUGAUGCAGCCAUGCCGCGUGUAUGAAGAAGGCCUUCGGGUUGUAAAGUACUUUCAGCGGGGAGGAAGGGAGUAAAGUUAAUACCUUUGCUCAUUGACGUUACCCGCAGAAGAAGCACCGGCUAACUCCGUGCCAGCAGCCGCGGUAAUACGGAGGGUGCAAGCGUUAAUCGGGAUUACUGGGCGUAAAGCGCACGCAGGCGGUUUGUUAAGUCAGAUGUGAAAUCCCCGGGCUCAACCUGGGAACUGCAUCUGAUACUGGCAAGCUUGAGUCUCGUAGAGGGGGGUAGAAUUCCAGGUGUAGCGGUGAAAUGCGUAGAGAUCAGGAGGAAUACCGGUGGCGAAGGCGGCCCCCUGGACGAAGACUGACGCUCAGGUGCGAAAGCGUGGGGAGCAAACAGG
RNAcentral lists this ribosomal RNA (429 nucleotides) under Chloroflexota bacterium. Its description in RNAcentral is "Chloroflexi bacterium partial 16S ribosomal RNA". It matches the Rfam family "Bacterial small subunit ribosomal RNA", at positions 355 to 776 of the family's 1533-position model. The record is from RNAcentral. Lineage: Bacteria; Bacillati; Chloroflexota.